UACGUAGGUGGCAAGCGUUGUCCGGAUUUAUUGGGCGUAAAGGGCUCGUAGGUGGCCAACUAAGUCAGACGUGAAAUCCCUCAGCUUAACUGGGGAACUGCGUCUGAUACUGGAUGGCUUGAGUUUGGGAGAGGGAUGCGGAAUUCCAGGUGUAGCGGUGAAAUGCGUAGAUAUCUGGAGGAACACCGGUGGCGAAGGCGGCAUCCUGGACCGGCAUUGACGCUGAUGAGCGAAAGCUAGGGGAGCAAACGGG
Molecule: ribosomal RNA, 253 nt
Filed under: uncultured bacterium
Lineage: Bacteria
Description: partial 16S ribosomal RNA
Rfam family: Bacterial small subunit ribosomal RNA
Source: RNAcentral